This 494-nucleotide ribosomal RNA is filed under the name uncultured bacterium. Its description in RNAcentral is "partial 16S ribosomal RNA". It matches the Rfam family "Bacterial small subunit ribosomal RNA", at positions 28 to 507 of the family's 1533-position model. The record is from RNAcentral.
GACGAACGCUGGCGGCACGCUUAACACAUGCAAGUCGAACGGAAAGGCCUGCUUUCCCUUGUGGAUUGCGGGUACUCGAGUGGCGAACGGGUGAGUAACACGUGAGUGAUCUGCCCCCAACUUGGGUAUAAGCCUGGGAAACUGGGUCUAAUUCCCGAUAGGACUGCAGGGUGGUGCCUGUGGUGGAAAACGAUUUUCUAGUGGUUGGGGAUGAGCUCGCGGCCUAUCAGCUUGUUGGUGGGGUAAUGGCCUACCAAGGCGGCGACGGGUAGCCGGCCUGGGAGGGUGGACGGCCACAUUGGGACUGAGAUACGGCCCAGACUCCUACGGGAGGCAGCAGUGGGGAAUAUUGCACAAUGGGCGGAAGCCUGAUGCAGCGACGCAGCGUGGGGGAUGACGGCCUUCGGGUUGUAAACUCCUUUCGACCGCGAGGAAGCCACCUGGUUGGAAGGGUGGUGACGGUAGUGGUAGAAGAAGCACCGGCUAACUACGUG